Molecule: ribosomal RNA, 438 nt
Filed under: uncultured bacterium
Lineage: Bacteria
Description: bacterial SSU rRNA
Rfam family: Bacterial small subunit ribosomal RNA
Source: RNAcentral
GCUUAACGCGAAGAACCUUACCUACUCUUGACAUCCAGAGAACUUAGCAGAGAUGCUUUGGUGCCUUCGGGAACUCUGAGACAGGUGCUGCAUGGCUGUCGUCAGCUCGUGUUGUGAAAUGUUGGGUUAAGUCCCGCAACGAGCGCAACCCUUAUCCUUUGUUGCCAGCGGUUCGGCCGGGAACUCAAAGGAGACUGCCAGUGAUAAACUGGAGGAAGGUGGGGAUGACGUCAAGUCAUCAUGGCCCUUACGAGUAGGGCUACACACGUGCUACAAUGGCGUAUACAAAGAGAAGCGACCUCGCGAGAGCAAGCGGACCUCAUAAAGUACGUCGUAGUCCGGAUUGGAGUCUGCAACUCGACUCCAUGAAGUCGGAAUCGCUAGUAAUCGUAGAUCAGAAUGCUACGGUGAAUACGUUCCCGGGUCUUGUACACACCG